RNAcentral lists this ribosomal RNA (497 nucleotides) under uncultured bacterium. Its description in RNAcentral is "partial 16S ribosomal RNA". It matches the Rfam family "Bacterial small subunit ribosomal RNA", at positions 28 to 507 of the family's 1533-position model. The record is from RNAcentral.
GACGAACGCUGGCGGCGUGCCUAAUACAUGCAAGUUGAGCGCUGAAGGUUGGUACUUGUACCAACUGGAUGAGCAGCGAACGGGUGAGUAACGCGUGGGGAAUCUGCCUUUGAGCGGGGGACAACAUUUGGAAACGAAUGCUAAUACCGCAUAAAAACUUUAAACACAAGUUUUAAGUUUGAAAGAUGCAAUUGCAUCACUCAAAGAUGAUCCCGCGUUGUAUUAGCUAGUUGGUGAGGUAAAGGCUCACCAAGGCGAUGAUACAUAGCCGACCUGAGAGGGUGAUCGGCCACAUUGGGACUGAGACACGGCCCAAACUCCUACGGGAGGCAGCAGUAGGGAAUCUUCGGAAAUGGACGAAAGUCUGACCGAGCAACGCCGUGUGAGUGAAGAAGGUUUUCGGAUCGUAAAACUCUGUUGGUAGAGAAGAACGUUGGUGAGAGUGGAAAGCUCAUCAAGUGACGGUAACUACCCAGAAAGGGACGGCUAACUACGUG